This 25-nucleotide non-coding RNA is filed under the name Mus musculus (house mouse). The record is from RNAcentral. Lineage: Eukaryota; Metazoa; Chordata; Mammalia; Rodentia; Muridae.
UAACAAAUCGGGAAGGUGACAGAGU